Molecule: ribosomal RNA, 692 nt
Filed under: uncultured Lachnospiraceae bacterium
Lineage: Bacteria; Bacillati; Bacillota; Clostridia; Lachnospirales; Lachnospiraceae
Description: bacterial SSU rRNA
Rfam family: Bacterial small subunit ribosomal RNA
Source: RNAcentral
GCUUAACACAUGCAAGUCGAACGGACGAUGAAGAGCUUGCUUUUCAGAGUUAGUGGCGGACGGGUGAGUAACGCGUGGGUAACCUGCCUCAUACAGGGGGAUAGCAGCUGGAAACGGCUGAUAAAACCGCAUAAGCGCACAGCAUCGCAUGAUGCAGUGUGAAAAACUCCGGUGGUAUGAGAUGGACCCGCGUCUGAUUAGCUAGUUGGUGAGGUAACGGCCCACCAAGGCGACGAUCAGUAGCCGGCCUGAGAGGGUGACCGGCCACAUUGGGACUGAGACACGGCCCAAACUCCUACGGGAGGCAGCAGUGGGGAAUAUUGCACAAUGGGGGAAACCCUGAUGCAGCGACGCCGCGUGAAGGAAGAAGUAUCUCGGUAUGUAAACUUCUAUCAGCAGGGAAGAUAAUGACGGUACCUGACUAAGAAGCCCCGGCUAACUACGUGCCAGCAGCCGCGGUAAUACGUAUGGUGCAAGCGUUAUCCGGAUUUACUGGGUGUAAAGGGAGCGUAGGCGGCGGAGCAAGUCAGAAGUGAAAGCCCGGGGCUCAACCCCGGGACGGCUUUUGAAACUGCCCUGCUUGAUUUCAGGAGAGGUAAGCGGAAUUCCUAGUGUAGCGGUGAAAUGCGUAGAUAUUAGGAGGAACACCAGUGGCGAAGGCGGCUUACUGGACUGACAAUGACGCUGAGGCU